Long non-coding RNA from Hippocampus comes (tiger tail seahorse), 508 nucleotides. RefSeq lists it as uncharacterized. Lineage: Eukaryota; Metazoa; Chordata; Actinopteri; Syngnathiformes; Syngnathidae. The transcript has 4 exons. The record is from RefSeq and is a predicted model, not a curated record.
UUUACGUGAACACUCUCAAGAUGAAGAGGGCAAGUCAACUGCAGCAAAAAACUGCUCAUGCUCUGCAUGACAGUAACACGCUGCCUACGUGGUCACCACAGGACACAAACACCGGGAGCCGAGCCACCUAAAGACAGCCGACGCAGGUGGCCCAUUGUGGAGGUGUGACAACUUUGACGGCCACGCCUACGUUAGGCUGUAAGAAGUUAAGAAUUGAUGGGCAUCAUGUUUCCACACCUGUGCUGAAAAUAGAAGACAGCAUACCUCGGGGAAAUGUUCAUGGCGGGGAACGCCAAAUUCAGCUGAGCCAAAGACUGCAUGAUGGUGACGUGAAGCGGAAUGCCAACUGGGAAGCUCUCCUUAAUGCCAGACGUAAUAGAUGAAAAGGAGCAACCAGUUUGGAUAGCAUCAUUCACCGCAAUAAAAAUGACAAGGAAAAUAGUUUGCAACUGCAAUGCCGUUACCAGAGAAGCUAAGAGUUUGCUGUGUUUGUUCUUCUCACACCACU